GCUAAACAGCUAGCUUAAUUACCAAAAUAACCAAAACAACAUUAAAACACUUUACUAAACCCACAAACUACCAAACUAAAACAUUCUACCGCCCCAGUACGUGAGACAGAAAAGGCACUACCUAAAGCCAUAGAAAAAGUACCGCAAGGGAACGCUGAAAGAGAAAUGAAAUAACUCAUUUAAGCAUAAUAAAGCAGAGACUAAUCCUCGUACCUUUUGCAUCAUGAUUUAGCCAGCCCCCCCUGAGCAAAGCGCGCUUUAGUUCAAAGCCCCGAAACUAAGUGAGCUACCCCGAGACAGCCUAUUAAUUAGGGCCAACCCGUCUCUGUGGCAAAAGAGUGGGAAGAGCUCCGGGUAGAGGUGACAGACCUACCGAACUUAGUUAUAGCUGGUUGCCUAAAAAAUGAAUAGAAGUUCAGCCUCGCACUCCUCAACUCAUAAACAUUUCUUAAAAUACGAGCCAGAGAAAUAUGCGACAGUUAGUCGGAGGGGGUACAGCCCCUCCGAAACAGGAUACAACCUCAUCAGGUGGUUAAAGAUUAUACUAGAUAAGAUACACCGCUCUAGUGGGCCUAAAAGCAGCCACCCAGACAGAAAGCGUUAAAGCUCUGGCGGAUCAAAAAUCUAUUAUCCAAAUACUACAUCUAAAACCCCUAAUCAUAUUAGGCCAUUCCAUGCCUGCAUGGAAGAGAUACUGCUAAAAUGAGUAAUAAGAAGGAAACCCCUUCUCCCAAGCCUACGUGUAUGCUAGACCGGACCCCCCACUAGCAAUUACCGAGCCCAAUCAAAGAGGGCAAUGUGAUUAUAUUAAAAAACAAGAAAUUCUCACAUAACUCAAUCGUUAACCCCACACCGGAAGGCCAAAUUAAGGAAAGACUAAAAGAAAAGGAAGGAACUCGGCAAACAUAAGCCUCGCCUGUUUACCAAAAACAUCGCCUCCUGCAAAAACCAAUGUAUAGGAGGUCUUGCCUGCCCAGUGACAAGUUAAACGGCCGCGGUAUUUUGACCGUGCGAAGGUAGCGCAAUCACUUGUCUUUUAAAUGAAGACCUGUAUGAAUGGUGGAACGAGGGCUUAACUGUCUCCCCUUUCAAGUCAAUGAAAUUGAUCUGCCCGUGCAGAAGCGGACAUACAAAUACAAGACGAGAAGACCCUUUGGAGCUUAAGAUACAAGAUCAACUAUGUCAAGAACCCCAAAAUUAAGUUAAACUAAAUAGCCAAUUGAUCCCUAUCUUCGGUUGGGGCGACCGCGGGAGAAAAUAAAGCUCCCAUGCGGACUGGGGUUAAACCCUAAAACCAAGAGAGACAUCUCUAAGUCACAGAACAUCUGACCACAAAGAUCCGGCCUGACCCGCCGAUCAACGGACCAAGUUACCCUAGGGAUAACAGCGCAAUCCCCUUUCAGAGUCCAUAUCGACAAGGGGGUUUACGACCUCGAUGUUGGAUCAGGACAUCCUAAUGGUGCAGCCGCUAUUAAGGGUUCGUUUGUUCAACGAUUAAAGUCCUACGUGAUCUGAGUUCAGACCGGAGCAAUCCAGGUCAGUUUCUAUCUGUAAUGCCACUCUUCCCAGUACGAAAGGACCGGAAAAAGGGGGCCCAUGUUAUAAAUACGCCCCACCCUAAUUUAAUGACAUCAACUAAAUUAAACAAAAGGAGGGCAUAACCCCACAUCAAGAUAAGAUU
This 1681-nucleotide ribosomal RNA is filed under the name Pangasianodon hypophthalmus (striped catfish). RNAcentral's name for it is "16S ribosomal RNA". The stretch from base 99 to 1602 matches the Rfam family "Bacterial large subunit ribosomal RNA". Lineage: Eukaryota; Metazoa; Chordata; Actinopteri; Siluriformes; Pangasiidae. The record is from RNAcentral.